This 357-nucleotide ribosomal RNA is filed under the name uncultured bacterium. Its description in RNAcentral is "bacterial SSU rRNA". It matches the Rfam family "Bacterial small subunit ribosomal RNA", at positions 157 to 507 of the family's 1533-position model. The record is from RNAcentral.
UACAAGCUAAUACCGCAUGCCGCCGUACGGGGAAGGCGGGGACCGUUCGGGCCUCGCACUUAUUGGAUGAGCCUAUGUCAGAUUAGCUUGUUGGUGGGGUAACGGCCUACCAAGGCGACGAUCUGUAGCUGGUCUGAGAGGACGAUCAGCCACACUGGGACUGAGACACGGCCCAGACUCCUACGGGAGGCAGCAGUGGGGAAUAUUGCACAAUGGGCGAAAGCCUGAUGCAGCAAUGCCGCGUGUGUGAAGAAGGCCUGCGGGUUGUAAAGCACUUUCAGUAGGGAGGAAACAGUAGCCGGUUAAUAUCCGGUUGCCUUGACGUUACCUACAGAAGAAGCACCGGCUAACUCUGUG